Octopus bimaculoides (California two-spot octopus) is the source of this 1701-nucleotide long non-coding RNA. Lineage: Eukaryota; Metazoa; Mollusca; Cephalopoda; Octopoda; Octopodidae. The record is from RefSeq and is a predicted model, not a curated record.
AAUGUAGUUUUCUUUCUUUUUUUUUCUUUUUUUUUUGUUGAAUACAAUAAAUUGGCGAAAAUCUUUAUCGCAGAAAUCAUUCGGUUCCACAUGGGAUCGUUAAAAAAAAAAUACAAAUAGUUGUUAAAUUCUGAACUUUGAUGAAUUGAAAUAUACAUAGAAUUACAAAUUGUUGCCAACAUAAAUGGAUGGAUGCUACAGAAGAGCUACAAUGAAUGAUAUCGGGGAAUAUCUCGGAAAAGAAGUCAAGAAAUUAUAUACAAUAUCAGAAGAGUUUUUAUCGCUUCAUUUAUGAUACCGGAAAGGAAACAAAUACAAAACACACACAAAAAAAACAGCAACAGAAAAAGAACAGAAAACAAAAACAAAACAACAACAAAAGCAACGGGAAACGAAAAAGCACAAGUGUACGCGCUAUCCUGAACAGAUUUUAAAAUAUACAUCUACACUACGUGGUAUCUCGCUAACACGAUCAUGGCUGAAACUAUCACCACCACGGAUAAAACAACGUCACCAACGAUGAAAGCUGUACUACUUCACCAGUAAGUUAUUUAAGAAGACAUAAGUGCUUUUCUCAUUUUAAUUGAACUCAACAACUAAGCCAAAAUUUAUUUCGGUACUAUGAAAAAUCCCAACAUGGCCCUACAAUCGGAUACAUGAAGCGAUUAAAACAAUACUGGAACGAAGCUUAUCCCAACUUAAAUACCUUCACGGCGAAACCGUUCCGACAACAAGCAUGUGUUCUAAAAAAAACAAAAAAAGAAAGCACAUCAACUGGUCCUCGAUCCUCCCAAAACACUGAAAAUGGGUCGAAAUCUGCCAGUAGUGACGUAAAAAAUAAUGGAAACAAACCAGCACUCCUGCCAUCGCUAAAUUCGAGUGUCUCCAAAUUUAGCUGACUCAGUAGCGAAGACUGCGGAAUACAUCCGUCACAAAAACAUUUUAAAAUUACAAUUCGCAAAAAAAUUUCUAUUUUCUCGAAGCUUUCGUUGAACAAAAGACUAUUCCCAAUACGAAUAAGAAAAAAAUCCAACCGAUCUAAUAUUUAAGGUUAUCAACAAUGUUGCUGGAGAGCACAUGGAAUCACGUGAAGUUAAUUACUGGAAUAUUAAUACUCAUAUACACAGCUGCUAUUAUUCUUAAAGAACACCUAGGAGAAAUCUACGGUGAAUAAAGUAACGAAAUUACUAAACAGAAACAACCUAGAUGGAAAACAAAACUUAAAGAAAACGUCAACAAUGUGCGCCGGCAUAUUGGAUGGUUAACUACAACAAUAAAAUGUAAGGAGAAAAUGUUAUCCCUCACUACCUUUACCUUAGACAAAAAUUAACGAAACUUUAUGGCAACUUUUCUCACCCAGCUCUUGAGGCAAAGCUGAUCACUUUAAAAAAUGAACUCAGGACGAUGAGCGAGAAACUCUGCUAUCACAUGCGAAUCUAUGAGCGAGCCAGUAUCAAUCGCAAGUUUGUUUCCAACCCACAAAUAUUAUACAAAGAGAUGAGGAAGGAAAAUAUUACCAUUAAGAGAGCUCCCUCCCAAGAAGAUCUACAAUCAUUCUGGUGAAAAAUUUGAAACGAAAAGAGGGAAUAAAUUUGGCAUGCAGCAGUUUCCGGUAGUGUUUAUAGGUUCAUUACUGAUAGUUUUACUCAAUUGUCUAUUGAUCAGUUCAAAAAAAUUGACCGACCUAAAGAAUUAGUGUUA